RNAcentral lists this long non-coding RNA (200 nucleotides) under Anolis carolinensis (green anole). RNAcentral describes it as "lncRNA (ENSACAG00000043333.1)". Lineage: Eukaryota; Metazoa; Chordata; Lepidosauria; Squamata; Anolidae. The record is from RNAcentral.
AGGACCAGCCAGUUGUUGACUGUGGAAGCAAUCGGAGGGCUUGAGCGCAAAUGGCCGCCGUGGCAGGGAGGACUGAAGCGUCAAAGGCUGGAUUUUUUUCUGCCUUCAUUUUCCAGAUUGGAAACUCCAGCUUCUACCAUCCUUCUUUUGGAUUGUCUUACUAGCAACACUUGGCCUUAUAAAAUAUUUCAUUUUCUUUC